Molecule: ribosomal RNA, 460 nt
Filed under: uncultured bacterium
Lineage: Bacteria
Description: partial 16S ribosomal RNA
Rfam family: Bacterial small subunit ribosomal RNA
Source: RNAcentral
CCUACGGGUGGCAGCAGUGAGGAAUAUUGGUCAAUGGCCGAGAGGCUGAACCAGCCAAGUCGCGUGAGGGAAGACGGCCCUACGGGUUGUAAACCUCUUUUGUCGGGGAGCAAAGCGAGUCACGUGUGACUCAUUGAGAGUACCCGAAGAAAAAGCAUCGGCUAACUCCGUGCCAGCAGCCGCGGUAAUACGGAGGAUCCGAGCGUUAUCCGGAUUUAUUGGGUUUAAAGGGAGCGUAGGCGGGUUGUUAAGUCAGUUGUGAAAGUUUGCGGCUCAACCGUAAAAUUGCAGUUGAUACUGGCAUCCUUGAGUACAGUAGAGGUAGGCGGAAUUCGUGGUGUAGCGGUGAAAUGCUUAGAUAUCACGAAGAACUCUGAUUGCGAAGGCAGCCUGCUGGACUGUAACUGACGCUGAUGCUCGAAAGUGUGGGUAUCAAACAGGAUUAGAUACCCGGGUAGUC